UGGUCUUAGAGAGUAGAUCUGGAC
Molecule: non-coding RNA, 24 nt
Filed under: Mus musculus (house mouse)
Lineage: Eukaryota; Metazoa; Chordata; Mammalia; Rodentia; Muridae
Source: RNAcentral